GAUGAAGAACGCAGCGAAAUGCGAUACGUAAUGUGAAUUGCAGAAUUCAGUGAAUCAUCGAAUCUUUGAACGCAUAUUGCGCUCUCUGGUAUUCCGGAGAGCAUGCUUGUUUGAGUAUCAGUAAACACCUCAACUCCCUUUUCUUUUUUGAAAUUGGAGCUGGACUUGAGUGAUCCCAACGCUUUCUUCCAAGAAAGUGGCGGGUUGCUUGAAAUGCAGGUGCAGCUGAACUUUUCUCUGAGCUAUAAGCAUAUCUAUUUAGUCUGCCUAAAAAACAGAUUAUUACCUUUGCUGCAGCUAACAUAAAGGAGACUAGUUCUUGUGCUGACUGAUGCAGGAUUCACAGAGACAGCUUCGGCUGACUUUGUAAACUCGAUCUCAAAUCAAGUAAGACUACCCGCUGAACUUAAGCAUAUCAAUAACGGAGGA
Molecule: unclassified non-coding RNA, 429 nt
Filed under: soil metagenome
Description: partial contains 5.8S ribosomal RNA, internal transcribed spacer 2, and large subunit ribosomal RNA
Rfam family: 5.8S ribosomal RNA (bases 1-120)
Source: RNAcentral